Molecule: long non-coding RNA, 1030 nt
Organism: Ipomoea nil (Japanese morning glory)
Lineage: Eukaryota; Viridiplantae; Streptophyta; Magnoliopsida; Solanales; Convolvulaceae
Exons: 2
Source: RefSeq, a predicted model, not a curated record
GGUAUACUCCCGCUAAAUUGAUUUCCAUCGAAUAGUCUGCCAUUUCAGAAUCAUAGAUUAUCAGAGAAGGCCACCCAAGACGAUCCAGUCCAGGAUCUUUCGCUGUUGAAACGGGGAGAGAUCCUGUCAACUGAUUAUCUGCCAGGUCAAGCCAGUAGAGUUUGGAGAGAUUACCCAGAGUUGCUGGAAUUUCACCCGUGAAGUUAUUUGAGUUGAGUGCUCUAUCGAGGAACCAACAUUGAAUUAGUUGACAGGUGAUAGUUGCAACUUGCAAAACAACUACUGCUAUCAAUCAACCUAUUUCUCAAAGUUUUUCAUGUUCUUACAAGAAGGAUAAUUCUGAAAGUUUCCCCAGUUCAGCAGGUACACUGCCACUAAAGCUACACCCAGCAAGAAUUCUGAAAAGAAAACACACCCAUUACUCUUAAUCAGGAAUAGAGUUGAUCAUCAAGAUCAGUUCCGAGUUUAAUUUGGAUCUUACAGUAUGCUUAGUUUCUGCAGAUCUCCAAUCCUUGGAGAAAUGGAGCCUGUGAGGCCUCGGUUAAAUGACAGGUCUCUGCAGAACAAUCAAGUUCACAACAAACAGGAGGUUAUUGCUUGGCAAACUUGUGCAGUUGUGCUUUAUUGGAGUAAAAACUGCUCCAAAGAAGAGAAAACUCACAAGGAUAUUAAUUCAGUAAGACCCCCAAUAUCACCAUUUAGUUUUCCUUUCAAGCCCAUAGUUGACAGUCCCCUGAAAAUGCAAUUAGUGAACAAAUCCACUCAAAAUUUUUGUGCAAAAGAUCUGAAAUGAUGACUCAACAGUACAGUACUUACAGUGCAGUGACCCUGGAGUUGUUGCAGGAUACUCCUUCCCAGGAUCCUCCACAAGGAUCAUCGGAGUCGUCCCAACUUGGAGGCGUGUUUUGCCACUGGUCUUUCAGAGAGGUGAGCACAGCUACUGCACUUGAGUGUGUUACUUGGUUAAAAAUUAAAGGGAGAUUUCAUAGUUCUAUGAAGCUACAAGAAUGGCAAUAUAUAUGCAGAAAAA